Molecule: ribosomal RNA, 446 nt
Filed under: uncultured bacterium
Lineage: Bacteria
Description: partial 16S ribosomal RNA
Rfam family: Bacterial small subunit ribosomal RNA
Source: RNAcentral
CCUACGGGAGGCAGCAGUAGGGAAUUUUCGGCAAUGGGGGGAACCCUGACCGAGCAACGCCGCGUGAACGAAGAAGUUAUUCGUAAUGUAAAGUUCUUUUAACAGGGAAGAAAGAGAAAUUUGACGGUACCUGAAGAAUAAGCUCCGGCUAACUACGUGCCAGCAGCCGCGGUAAUACGUAGGGAGCGAGCGGAAUCGGGAAUUAUUGGGCGAAAGGGUUGCGUAGAUGGCAUAGUAAGUCUUUUGUAAAAAUGCUGGGCUCAACCCAGUAGGGCAAAAGAUACUGUAAGGCUAGAGAAUGACAGAGGCAAGUGGAACUACAGGUGUAGCGGUAAAAUGCGUAGAUAUAUGUAAGAACACCAGUGGCGAAGGCGGCUUGCUGGGUCGAUACUGACAUUGAGGCACGAAAGCGUGGGGAGCAAACAGGAUUAGAUACCCGGGUAGUC